AUCUGAGUAAGGGACAUCAAUAGAACCAACAAU
Molecule: small RNA, 33 nt
Filed under: Arabidopsis thaliana (thale cress)
Lineage: Eukaryota; Viridiplantae; Streptophyta; Magnoliopsida; Brassicales; Brassicaceae
Description: ATSL157670
Source: RNAcentral